AUGUCGGCUUCCACGCCCGUGAACAUGUACGAGAGGGUGUUCAGAGACUGCACCGGGCUGCAGGUGCUUCACCUCACGUCCUGCUGCUGUGCACAUAGCACUCUGGUGGUGGACGUGCCAUGUUCACAUAUAAGGGAGCUCGUCCUGGAAGAGUGCUCGUUCUCUGUGAUCGAGCUGCGCGACCUCCCAAUGCUUGUCUGCCUGGCGUGCUGUCUAACCGACACUUCAAAGAUUCUAUUUGGCUCUAUUCCGAGCCUCAUGGACACUAACCUCUCAUUUUCUCUAGAGGAUGAUACUAUAGUGGAGGCACGGGGGAGAGAUGAGUUCGACUCGUUCCUCGGUAUGUCCCCCACCAUGGCGAACCUCGUCAUCCGAUUUACUGGGCAGAGAAGAUGGAUUCGAGCCAGCCGUCCGGAGAGGAAGUUGCCGCACCUGAAAAGGCUCCUGGUCGCUGACGUGCCUUCAAAUUGGGAUAUCUCAUGGACACGUGGCCUCCUCAUGGCCUCGACAUUUCUUGAGGUCCUGCAUAUCCACGUGCCUCACUCGGAAACGGAGCCAGAUUACCUGCGCGGGAUGAAUUGGUACAAAUCACGCAAUGAGCUUCGACACCAUCACCUCAAAGAGUUGGUCGUGAUUGGAUUCACGCAGCGUCACAUAUGGCUUUUGAAGUAUGUUGUGAGGGUGUGCACAUCGUUGCAACGCGUUGUUUUGCUAAAGGAUGGCCAUGUUCGGUACAAUGGACUCUGGGAUUGGCGGAUGGUUGGGCAGCAAACAUGUCCAUGGAGCGAUGAUGAAAUAAGGGUGGUGAGAAGAAUGAUGAAUUUUUUUGGGCUCAGGCCUCUUCCUGAACUGAUCUUGGGAUGA
Molecule: ribosomal RNA, 864 nt
Filed under: Triticum aestivum (bread wheat)
Lineage: Eukaryota; Viridiplantae; Streptophyta; Magnoliopsida; Poales; Poaceae
Description: partial small subunit ribosomal RNA
Source: RNAcentral